This 300-nucleotide long non-coding RNA is filed under the name Anser brachyrhynchus (Pink-footed goose). RNAcentral describes it as "lncRNA (ENSABRG00000012339.1)". Lineage: Eukaryota; Metazoa; Chordata; Aves; Anseriformes; Anatidae. The record is from RNAcentral.
AUGUUUCAAACUACCACACAUGCCCUUGAUAGGUUUCCUAAUUUUUCUGCCCAUCUUCUUCUUCAGCACAGAUCUUGUUGCAAAAUGCUAAUUAUGUGCAGGAACCAACUCAGGAAAUGCUUGGUCAGACCUGGGGAUGAAUGUGUGGCUGGUCAGGCCUCUGAGUACUGGGAAGGGAUCUCUCAGGAUGAUGUACAAGGAGCUGGUUCAGCACUUGGGUCCAUAAACUUGGAUGCUUGCCUACCUUUUGGAUGCUUUGCCUACCUCGGCAGGAUUUUGACUGCAGUUUGUAAGGAGUGA